Molecule: long non-coding RNA, 1031 nt
Organism: Microcebus murinus (gray mouse lemur)
Lineage: Eukaryota; Metazoa; Chordata; Mammalia; Primates; Cheirogaleidae
Source: RefSeq, a predicted model, not a curated record
AGGAUGGAUGGAAAGAACCUGAGCAGGUGAAUGAAGGGUCAGGCGAAAACACCUGCCCGGAGCUGCUUGUUUGCUGAGUGCAAAGUCCAGCUGAAAACAGCUGACCUGUGUGGAAGUUGUUAAAGAAAUUAACAAGCGGCGCUGACCCUUUGCAUGUGUCCUUGGAAAUAAAUACGGGAGGAAUGUAGCUGAGGAGGCCACUUUCUUUCUCCUUUAGGUUCCCUCUUCUCUCUAAGCACCAUGUGCUCUGAGUACUCAUUCGUUCCUUCGCUACCGAGCUCAGGAGCCAAAGAGCAGCCUCGACAAGUGGUGACCCAGACAUGCCUCAGGAAUUCACGCGUCCGGUGAGCGUUUCUGUCGUCCAGACUACAAGGGGAAUCACCUGCACAGGCGCAGUUUGCCGGGCUCAUGUCUUAACCCCGCCUGUGUUUGAGCCCCUAACACGGGGGGACUGGAGAAUCUUCUGCCUACCAACGACUCAGCAUGGACUGGGGAAGGACAUUGCCUCCACGUCCCUGGCAGAGAAGCAGAACGGACUGGCUUAAUAGCACAGAGUCAGCAGUUUAUCGUUCCUCUAAUCCUCCUGUGGGUGUUACCGACUUACAUCAUACAGCACGGACGGAUCCGCCAAUUGAUGACCUCCCAAUGCCAGUAUGAAGAGGCACUGGCUGAAGCUUACAUCUUUUUCCUACGCACACCCCGUCUCUAAUUUUAAACAUGCACAAGGGGACCUGCUGGGGCUGGGCCUGGAAGAAAGGAUGGAUGGAUGGAUGGAUGGAUGGAUGGAUGGAUGGAUGGAUGGAAAGAACCUGAGCAGGUGAAUGAAGGGUCAGGCGAAAACACCUGCCCGGAGCUGCUUGUUUGCUGAGUGCAAAGUUCAGCUGAAAACAGCUGACCUGUGUGGAAGUUGUUAAAGAAAUUAGCAGACGGCUCGGAUCCUUUGCACGUGUCCUUGGAAAUAAAUACAGGGAGGAACGUAGCUGAGGGGACCAUUUUCUCCUUUAGAUUUUGGCCUCUCCCCUUCUCUCUAA